This 68-nucleotide transfer RNA is filed under the name Maladera orientalis. RNAcentral describes it as "tRNA-Trp". It matches the Rfam family "tRNA". From Rfam's summary of the family: Transfer RNA (tRNA) molecules are approximately 80 nucleotides in length. Their secondary structure includes four short double-helical elements and three loops (D, anti-codon, and T loops). Further hydrogen bonds mediate the characteristic L-shaped molecular structure. tRNAs have two regions of fundamental functional importance: the anti-codon, which is responsible for specific mRNA codon recognition, and the 3' end, to which the tRNAs corresponding amino acid is attached (by aminoacyl-tRNA synthetases). tRNAs cope with the degeneracy of the genetic code in two manners: having more than one tRNA (with a specific anti-codon) for a particular amino acid; and 'wobble' base-pairing, i.e. permitting non-standard base-pairing at the 3rd anti-codon position. Lineage: Eukaryota; Metazoa; Arthropoda; Insecta; Coleoptera; Scarabaeidae. The record is from RNAcentral.
AAGGAUUUAAGUUAAAUAAACUUUUAGCCUUCAAAGCUAAGAAUGAAGAUAAAAUUCUUUAAGCCUUA